RNAcentral lists this ribosomal RNA (501 nucleotides) under uncultured bacterium. RNAcentral describes it as "partial 16S ribosomal RNA". It matches the Rfam family "Bacterial small subunit ribosomal RNA", at positions 29 to 523 of the family's 1533-position model. The record is from RNAcentral.
AUUGAACGCUGGCGGCAUGCCUUACACAUGCAAGUCGAACGGCAGCACGGGUGCUUGCACCUGGUGGCGAGUGGCGAACGGGUGAGUAAUACAUCGGAACGUACCUUAUCGUGGGGGAUAACGCAGCGAAAGCUGUGCUAAUACCGCAUACGCCCUGAGGGGGAAAGCGGGGGAUCGCAGGACCUCGCGCGAUUAGAGCGGCCGAUGCCUGAUUAGCUUGUUGGUGGGGUAAAAGCCCACCAAGGCGACGAUCAGUAGCUGGUCUGAGAGGACGAUCAGCCAGACUGGGACUGAGACACGGCCCAGACUCCUCCGGGAGGCAGCAGUGGGGAAUUUUGGACAAUGGGGGCAACCCUGAUCCAGCAAUGCCGCGUGAGUGAAGAAGGCCUUCGGGUUGUAAAGCUCUUUUGUCAGGGAAGAAACACCGGCUCUAACACAGUCCGGGAAUGACGGUACCUGAAGAAUAAGCACCGGCUAACUACGUGCCAGCCGCCGCCGUAA